RNAcentral lists this ribosomal RNA (587 nucleotides) under uncultured marine eukaryote. RNAcentral's name for it is "SSU rRNA". It matches the Rfam family "Eukaryotic small subunit ribosomal RNA", at positions 613 to 1203 of the family's 1831-position model. The record is from RNAcentral.
UUGCGGUUAAAAAGCUCGUAGUUGGAUUUCUGUCGGUGAAUGGCGCUCCGCCCCUAGUGGUGAGCAGCCGUCAUAACACCGGCAUCCUCCUAGGGAAUGCUGCUGCACUUUAUUGUGUGGUGCAUGAACUAGGACUUUUACUUUGAGGAAAUGAGAGUGUUUCAAGCAGGCAUGCGCCGUGAAUACGUUAGCAUGGAAUAAUAGCAUCGGACCUCGAUCCAAAGCUGUUGGUUUCUUGGGUCGAAGUAAAGGUGAACUGGGAUUGUUGGGGGCAUUCGUAUUUAACUGUCAGAGGUGAAAUUCUUGGAUUUGUUGAAGACGGACUACUGCGAAAGCAUCUGCCAAAGAUGUUCUCAUUGAUCAAGAACGGAAGUUAGGUGAUCGAAGACGAUCAGAUACCGUCCUAGUCUUAACCAUAAACUAUGCCGACUGGAGAUAGGAGGUCGUUAAAUUGGUGACGCCUUCUGCAUCUUGAGAGAAAUCAAAGUCUUUGGGUUCCGGGGGGAGUAUGGUCGCAAGGCUGAAACUUAAAGGAAUUGACGGAAGGGCACCACCAGGAGUGGAGCCUGCGGCUUAAUUUGACUCAA